AAAAAUGAAGCAAAAUUUGCUGUCAGUUUCGGCCUGACCCUUGGGCCCUCCCAUUUUUA
RNAcentral lists this transfer RNA (59 nucleotides) under Alectorobius peruvianus. RNAcentral describes it as "tRNA-Arg". The record is from RNAcentral. Lineage: Eukaryota; Metazoa; Arthropoda; Arachnida; Ixodida; Argasidae.